This is a non-coding RNA of Musa acuminata subsp. malaccensis (wild Malaysian banana), 384 nucleotides long. NCBI's taxonomy places the organism in Eukaryota, Viridiplantae, Streptophyta, Magnoliopsida, Zingiberales, Musaceae. The record is from RefSeq and is a predicted model, not a curated record.
CAUGCCAUCUUCCAAGUACACAAUGAAGAAGACCAAUUCAUCAGGCUAUCUCCUUCUGUUGGUCUUCUUGGUGCUUAUGGCUGUUAGAACUCUUUCCAUUCGAUAUCCUGCACAGGCCUUCCUGGAGGAGAGUGUUUACAAAGGGAGGACCGACGCUAUCUCCAACAAAAAUGCCGUCGUAUUAAGAGGUGGGGGGGUUUCUCCCCCUUCUCCGGCUCAUAAUAUCCAGAGAGGGCCACAGACUCCUGCACCGUGAACUGAGCUCCUUGUAUUCUCUGUUCUUCAUUCUGCAUGAUGUUUGCAAACUAUGUCAUAUAAAUCUGUGUAUAAGACUCUCUGUAAUGUCUCAACGUGUUGUUAUGAAAUUUGCGAUAGCCAUAAUCA